AUAAAUAAAUAUAUAUAUUAGUUAAAAUGAUUCGGUUCGGUUUCAAAUUCGAUUUUCGAAAGUGAAACCGAAUCGAAUCGAAUUAAUUUGGUUUCAAAAUUUCUUCCGGAUUGAACCGCAUUUUUCGAUUUCACUGAGUUUUCGGUUCGGUUUUAGAAACGGUUCAGUUUUUGCGGUUUGGAUGACCACCCCUAUAUGGCUAUCACUGGUGGUAGAGAUAUAUGAAUGAUAACCACUGAUAUCUAUUUUAUUGCUGAACAAGAUUAUUUUUUUUGUGGUUAUUGUUUCUUAUUGAUAUCCCUUAAUAGACAUGCCUAGUUAUAGAUUGGUAUCAGUGAUAGUGAUAGAUUAUGAUAUUCCUCUUUGAUAUGAGUCUAUGAUAGUAAGAUAUUAGAACCUGUAAUUUAUAUCGUUAUAUCAAUUUCAUUGAUAUUGUCAUUCAUGGGUUUAUGUUUUAGUUUUGUAGGAAUUUAAGAAUAUGGUUAUUUCUAUAGUUUUUUUUCCUACUUAAAUAUGGAAUGAAAAAUAUUGUUAUGUGGAUUACAAGACAACAUGGUGUUUGAAGAUUUUGUGGUUUAAUAGUAAAGAAGAUUUGUUUGAGUGUAUCAAUUUUUUCUUUAGAACUAUCAACUUUAUUAGAUUUUUGUAUGAAUGAAGUUCAAAAUGUAGUUGAAAUUUAUGAAGACUACAAGAAUUUUGGACUUUAAUGUCGUUUGGAAAAAGUGAAAUCGGAUGUAUAAUGUUGGUUUUGUUUUGUUUUUAAAAGCGGAUCUUUAAUGUAGGUUUUAAAUCGACAUUGUAGGGGUACAUUUAAUGUCAGUUUUAAACCGACAUUAAAGACCCACUUAAUUUAUCCUCUCACUUUCUAUUUUUCCUCCAUUUUUUUUUCAUUUCCCUCUUCACUCUCCCCUUAUCCCUAUAUCUGUUGCUCGUUCCGUGUCGCACGCACCGCCAGGUUCGUUCUUGGCCAAACAUCCCCGUAAUUUUCAUUACUUUACUUCUCAGUUUUUAAAUUUGAUUGAAAAUGAAUCCCUCGGAAAGAAAAACCAGGCCUUCGAUGCUCACACCAUCAACGAAAAACCAGGCCUUCUCUUCCCUUGCUCCGAAAAACGUAUUUCCACUUUCCCUUUUAAAAUUUCUAUUAUUACACGCAAUCUUCAAACUCCCAUUCCUAAUUGGACUUAAACAUUAAUUUGAUGGGCUCAAGUUUUUAGAUGAAUAAAUAUAUAAGAGCUCCUUUGUUUUUUAUGAUAGUGUGACAAAAUAUAGUAGAGCUCCUAAAAAGCAAUUGUUUUACAUAUAUGAGAAGUUGCAUUUUUCAGCUUGUCAUAGAUGAGGCUAAAAUGUAUAGUGAUGUAUUUUAUUUAAUAAGAACAAUUGCUUCAGACUAACUAAAGAAAACGUGAAACAUAUCAUCAUUUGGUAGCUUUUAUUUAAGUACUUAUUGUUAGUUUCUAUUGCCUUUUAGUCUUGUCACAAUUGAAUAUUGUUCUGCUGAUUUUUUCAUGUUUGCUGUUAAUACCUUGCCUACUUUUUUUUUAUUAUCUGUGUGAGUUUCAAUACUAUUAUUGACUAUAAUUCUUCUAUGUCUUUCAUCUUGAGCAAGCUUUAAUGAGUAUUCUUUUAUGGAUUUAUCUUUUCCAGUUGAUAUUGAAUAGUGUUCUCUUGCUUGGCUCAAGUAGUCAAAUGAUUGUAGGUAGGCCAACAGUACCAAGUGCAGUUGUGCAACUCCCUUAGUUGGUGGAGUUCAAUUGGAGUAUCUUUUUGUUCUUGUUUUCUAUCCCUAAAACUUGCCUGUGGAUUUUUUUUUUAGUUUCUAUAUUGUUUGAUUGUAGAGAAAAGACAUCAAGAAAGAGGCAAAAUUGGUAUGUUUCUAUAGUGGACACUUAGAACAAGUGGAUGAAGAAAGAGGCAAAACGGGUAUUUGGGUUUGUUUACUUCAAGAUUUUUGUUUUAGUUUAAUACUUCAAAACACUCCUUGUAGGUUUCUUCAGACAUUCUUCAUGUAGGAUAGUGUAGGGAUUUGUGGAGUCAUUUCGUAAUUUUCGAGAAAUAAAAGUGUUAUGCAAUUGUUUCUAUUAUUGUUUUAGAACAAUUUAUGAACUUGAAGAAGCAACAAAAUUUAAUUUCAUAUUAGAGAAAAUCUCUUUUCCAAAUACUAUAGGUCUUGAAGAACAUCGCUCGGAGAAGAGCAAAUGUCAAGAACAUCAUUUUGAUGUUUAUGAGAAAUGCAAGAAGAGAGAGCACCUAGAUACUUAUGGUUUGGAGAAGCUUGCUAUAGAGGAGUUGUGCAAACAUUAUACUAAGGAUUUUGGUAUUGAAUGCUGAAUUGGGAGGUUCCACAACAUUUGUGGUCCAUUUGGAACAUGGAAAGGUGGAAGGAAAAAGGCUCCUCCUGCAUUUUGUAGAAAGGCCCUCACUUUUGUAGACAAGUUUGAGAUGUAGGGAGAUGGUCUUCAAACAAGAUCUUUCACUUUCAUUGAUGAAUGUGUAGAAGGAAGUCAUGCUUUCGAUUUGGAUCAAAUCUGUAGUGGAUGGUGGAGAGAACAUAACGAAAGAACAAUUGAAGACUAUUUGGAAAACAUUAUAUAAUGACUACAAGUGUGUGUGCACUUUUGUUUGUUUGUUUGUUUGUUUU
Long non-coding RNA from Benincasa hispida (wax gourd), 2638 nucleotides. RefSeq lists it as uncharacterized. The record is from RefSeq and is a predicted model, not a curated record. Lineage: Eukaryota; Viridiplantae; Streptophyta; Magnoliopsida; Cucurbitales; Cucurbitaceae.